Molecule: ribosomal RNA, 253 nt
Filed under: uncultured bacterium
Lineage: Bacteria
Description: partial 16S ribosomal RNA
Rfam family: Bacterial small subunit ribosomal RNA
Source: RNAcentral
UACGUAGGGGGCAAGCGUUGUUCGGAGUUACUGGGCGUAAAGGGUGUGUAGGCGGUUCUUUAAGUUUGGGGUGAAAUCUCCCGGCUCAACCGGGAGGGUGCGCCGAAUACUGAGGGACUAGAGUGUGGGAGAGGAAAGUGGAAUUCCUGGUGUAGCGGUGAAAUGCGUAGAUAUCAGGAGGAACACCGGUGGUGUAGACGGCUUUCUGGACCAUAACUGACGCUGAGACACGAAAGCGUGGGUAGCAAACAGG